RNAcentral lists this ribosomal RNA (481 nucleotides) under uncultured bacterium. Its description in RNAcentral is "bacterial SSU rRNA". It matches the Rfam family "Bacterial small subunit ribosomal RNA", at positions 28 to 507 of the family's 1533-position model. The record is from RNAcentral.
GACGAACGCUGGCGGCGUGCCUAACACAUGCAAGUCGAGCGGAGUCGAUCGACGGAAGCCUUCGGGCGGAAGAUGGUUGACUUAGCGGCGGAUGGGUGAGUAACGCGUGGGCAACCUGCCUCGAAGACCGGGAUAACAGCCCGAAAGGGCUGCUAAUACCGGAUGUGGUCAAGGAUCCGCAUGGAUUUUUGAUUAAAGGGGAAACCCGUUUCGAGAUGGGCCCGCGUCCUAUCAGCUAGUUGGUGAGGUAAAAGCUCACCAAGGCGACGACGGGUAGCCGGCCUGAGAGGGUGACCGGCCACACUGGAACUGAGACACGGUCCAGACUCCUACGGGGGGCAGCAGUGGGGAAUCUUCCACAAUGGGCGAAAGCCUGAUGGAGCGACGCCGCGUGAGCGAAGAAGGCCUUCGGGUGUAAAGCUCUGUCUGGAGGGACGAAGGAAGUGACGGUACCUCCGGAGGAAGCCACGGCUAACACGUG